Molecule: ribosomal RNA, 505 nt
Filed under: uncultured bacterium
Lineage: Bacteria
Description: bacterial SSU rRNA
Rfam family: Bacterial small subunit ribosomal RNA
Source: RNAcentral
AACGAACGCUGGCGGCGUGCUUAACACAUGCAAGUCGAACGAGAAAGUUUCCUUCGGGAAACGAGUAGAGUGGCGCACGGGUGAGUAACGCGUAGGUAAUCUACCCUUAUAUUUGGGAUAACAGACCGAAAGGUCUGCUAAUACCGGAUACACUUUUAGUUAUGCGAGUAACUUUGAGGAAAGGUGGCCUCUUCAUGAAAGCUACCGUAUAGGGAUGAGCCUGCGUACCAUUAGCUAGUAGGUGGGGUAACGGCCCACCUAGGCGACGAUGGUUAGCGGGUCUGAGAGGAUGAUCCGCCACACUGGAACUGGAACACGGACCAGACUCCUACGGGAGGCAGCAGUGAGGAAUAUUGCGCAAUGGGGGAAACCCUGACGCAGCGACGCCGCGUGAGUGAGGAAGGUUUUCGGAUCGUAAAGCUCUGUCAGAAGGGAAGAACGGCAUCCAUUCGAAUAGGGUGGGUGAUUGACGGUACCUCCAAAGGAAGCGCCGGCUAACUCCGUG